GGAGUUAGCCGGUGCUUCUUCUGUGAGUGAUGUCCUUCCUGCCGGCUAUUAACCCGCAGGCCUUCUUCCUCACUGAAAGUGCUUUACAACCCGAAGGCCUUCUUCACACACGCGGCAUGGCUGGAUCAGGGUUGCCCCCAUUGUCCAAUAUUCCCCACUGCUGCCUCCCGUAGGAGUCUGGGCCGUGUCUCAGUCCCAGUGUGGCUGAUCAUCCUCUCAGACCAGCUACGGAUCGUCGCCUUGGUGAGCCGUUACCUCACCAACCAGCUAAUCCGACAUAGGCUCAUCCGAUAGCGCGAGGCCCGAAUGUCCCCCGCUUUCCCCCGUAGGUCGUAUGCGGUAUUAGCCUGGGUUUCCCCAGGUUAUCCCCCACUACCGGGCAGAUUCCUAUGCAUUACUCACCCGUCCGCCGCUCGCCACCAGGGAGCAAGCUCCCCGUGCUGCCGCUCGACUUGCAUGUGUUAGGCCUGCCGCCAGCGUUCAAUCUGAGCCAGGAUCAAACUCUGA
This 507-nucleotide ribosomal RNA is filed under the name uncultured bacterium. RNAcentral describes it as "partial 16S ribosomal RNA". The record is from RNAcentral.